RNAcentral lists this ribosomal RNA (492 nucleotides) under uncultured bacterium. Its description in RNAcentral is "partial 16S ribosomal RNA". It matches the Rfam family "Bacterial small subunit ribosomal RNA", at positions 29 to 507 of the family's 1533-position model. The record is from RNAcentral.
AGUGAACGCUGGCGGUAGGCCUAACACAUGCAAGUCGAACGGCAGCACAGUAAGAGCUUGCUCUUACGGGUGGCGAGUGGCGGACGGGUGAGGAAUACAUCGGAAUCUACUUUUUCGUGGGGGAUAACGUAGGGAAACUUACGCUAAUACCGCAUACGACCUACGGGUGAAAGCAGGGGAUCUUCGGACCUUGCGCGAUUGAAUGAGCCGAUGUCGGCUUAGCUAGUUGGCGGGGUAAAGGCCCACCAAGGCGACGAUCCGUAGCUGGUCUGAGAGGAUGAUCAGCCACACUGGAACUGAGACACGGUCCAGACUCCUACGGGAGGCAGCAGUGGGGAAUAUUGGACAAUGGGCGCAAGCCUGAUCCAGCCAUACCGCGUGGGUGAAGAAGGCGUUCGGGUGGUAAAGCCCUUUUGUUGGGAAAGAAAAGCAGCAGGUUAAUACCCCGCUGUUCUGACGGUACCCAAAGAAUAAGCACCGGCUAACUUCGUG